This 250-nucleotide ribosomal RNA is filed under the name uncultured Lachnospiraceae bacterium. RNAcentral's name for it is "partial 16S ribosomal RNA". It matches the Rfam family "Bacterial small subunit ribosomal RNA", at positions 89 to 339 of the family's 1533-position model. The record is from RNAcentral. Lineage: Bacteria; Bacillati; Bacillota; Clostridia; Lachnospirales; Lachnospiraceae.
GACUGAGUGGCGGACGGGUGAGUAACGCGUGGGUAACCUGCCUCAUACAGGGGGAUAACAGUUGGAAACGACUGCUAAUACCGCAUAAGCGCACAGGAUCGCAUGAUCCGGUGUGAAAAACUCCGGUGGUACAGGAUGGGCCCGCGUUGGAUUAGGUAGUUGGUGGGGUAACGGCCUACCAAGCCGACGAUCCAUAGCCGACCUGAGAGGGUGACCGGCCACAUUGGGACUGAGACACGGCCCAAACUCC